RNAcentral lists this ribosomal RNA (571 nucleotides) under uncultured bacterium. Its description in RNAcentral is "bacterial SSU rRNA". It matches the Rfam family "Bacterial small subunit ribosomal RNA", at positions 338 to 916 of the family's 1533-position model. The record is from RNAcentral.
CCUACGGGAGGCAGCAGUGGGGAAUAUUGGGCAAUGGAGGAAACUCUGACCCAGCGACGCCGCGUGCGGGAUGAAGGCCUUCGGGUUGUAAACCGCUUUCAGCAGGGAAGAAGCGAAAGUGACGGUACCUGCAGAAGAAGCACCGGCUAACUAUGUGCCAGCAGCCGCGGUAAUACAUAGGGUGCAAGCGUUGUCCGGAAUUAUUGGGCGUAAAGAGCUCGUAGGUGGUUCGUCACGUCGGAUGUGAAAAUCUGGGGCUUAACCCCAGACCUGCAUUCGAUACGGGCGAGCUUGAGUAUGGUAGGGGAGUCUGGAAUUCCUGGUGUAGCGGUGGAAUGCGCAGAUAUCAGGAGGAACACCAAUGGCGAAGGCAGGACUCUGGGCCAUUACUGACACUGAGGAGCGAAAAGCGUGGGGAGCGAACAGGAUUAGAUACCCUGGUAGUCCACGCCGUAAACGGUGGGCACUAGUUGUGGGGACCUUCCACGGUCUCUGCGACGCAGCUAACGCAUUAAGUGCCCGCCUGGGGAGUACGAUCGCAAGAAUUAAAACUACAAAAGGAAAUUGACGG